AUUUAGAGUAAGUUUGAUUCUUUGUAUUAAGGCAUCUUUUCUUUUGAUAGUAUUUUGUUAAAUUAUUGUUGUUGUAUUAUUGAGAUUAAUAGAAUUUUUGUAAUGUUAACUCUUGCGAUUGUGACUUAAUAAAGCCAUUUCUUUGAAGUUAAUAGUUCGUUUCAGUUGAAUAUUUUAAUAAGAUAUGUCUUAAUUUAGUAUAUCCAGUACUAGCAGUUUAGUUACAAGUGUUAUUUACGAACUCUGGACAUAAAGUUACUCAUCUGUUAGGUUAUUGCAAGUUCUGGAUAAAGGUAACUUUGCAAUUUGUGCCUGAACAGGGACUCAAACCCUGGACUGUGAGGUGCAGGAUUUGAGUCCCAACUUGCAAUAAUCUAAUGGACAGUCAGUGGAGUCAACAGCAGCAAGGAAGUUGCUAUUGAUUCCACUGAUGUUGAGAAACAUAAAAUGAGGUGGAUGGCAGUCUGGUUACAUCAAGUGCCACAAGCUUUCCUUGGAAAUCCAGCUAUCAUCAAAAAGUACACCACCCCAACUUAUAAGUUGGUGAAAUCACUAACUGAGUUUGUAAAAGCCAAGAAUGGUGAAUAUUUGCUGUUUUCAAUUCUUGUAUUUAUCAUCAUAUUACUAUUUGGAAGUACAUACAACUAUAUUAUACUGAAGUUCUUUUAGAGAAUACUACUAAACGAAGGAGUUUCGGCGCUUGCUGCGGUUGGGGGAGCU
RNAcentral lists this long non-coding RNA (720 nucleotides) under Androctonus crassicauda. The record is from RNAcentral. Lineage: Eukaryota; Metazoa; Arthropoda; Arachnida; Scorpiones; Buthidae.